UACGGAGGGGGCUAGCGUUGUUCGGAAUUACUGGGCGUAAAGGGCACGUAGGCUGGCUGUUAAGUCGGUGGUGAAAUCCCGAGGCUCAACCUCGGAAUUGCCUUCGAUACUGACGGUCUUGAGUGCGGGGGAGGUGAGUGGAAUUCCCAGUGUAGAGGUGAAAUUCGUAGAUAUUGGGAAGAACACCAGUGGCGAAGGCGGCUCACUGGCCCGCAACUGACGCUGAGGUGCGAAAGCGUGGGGAGCAAACAGG
Molecule: ribosomal RNA, 253 nt
Filed under: uncultured bacterium
Lineage: Bacteria
Description: partial 16S ribosomal RNA
Rfam family: Bacterial small subunit ribosomal RNA
Source: RNAcentral